RNAcentral lists this unclassified non-coding RNA (392 nucleotides) under Cutaneotrichosporon debeurmannianum. Lineage: Eukaryota; Fungi; Basidiomycota; Tremellomycetes; Trichosporonales; Trichosporonaceae. The record is from RNAcentral.
GCUUUAGCACUCUCUCCGGUUGCAAUGGAGUGGGGCAGGAUCAGCGCGAUCAGCGCGAUCGGCCUCUAACUUCGUAGCCAUCGUAGACAGUGCAGAGCCCGCAUGUAACGUGAGGGAAGUUCAUGAGGGAAGGUAUCUAAGACAUGUUAUUAAGAAAGGAUAUUGAAUAGUACUGAUAUCAGUACGGCAUAAGCCAAGUUCCCUAAGUUGCGGCUUGACCUGGAUUCGGUGAAGUUCAGCUCCCGCCUAGUAGCGGUCAGGCUGCCAGCGGCAUUACCUCCUCAGUCGGUUAGCUAGUCAGUCGUAUACUGGUAAGUUGCAUGAUCUGGCUAUAAGUGUCGAUGACAGUAAUACCAGACGGCAGGUUCAUGAGGGCUUAGACAUCAUACUAG